RNAcentral lists this unclassified non-coding RNA (403 nucleotides) under soil metagenome. RNAcentral describes it as "partial contains 5.8S ribosomal RNA, internal transcribed spacer 2, and large subunit ribosomal RNA". The stretch from base 1 to 121 matches the Rfam family "5.8S ribosomal RNA", at positions 35 to 154 of the family's 154-position model. The record is from RNAcentral.
GAUGAAGAACGCAGCGAAAUGCGAUAAGUAAUGUGAAUUGCAGAAUUCAGUGAAUCAUCGAAUCUUUGAACGCACCUUGCGCCCUUUGGCUAUUCCGAAGGUCAUGCCUGUUUGAGUAUCAUGAACACCUCAACUCUCAUGGCUUGCCAUGAUGAGCUUGGACUUUUGGGGGUCUUGCUGGCCUGUGGUCAGCUCCUCUCAAAUGAAUUAGCCUGCCAGUGUUUGGUGGCAUCACAGGUGUGAUAACUAUCUACGCUUGUGGUUUUCCACCAGGUAACCUUCAGUGAUGAAGGUUCGCUGGGGCUCAUAAACGUCUCUCCUCAGUGAGGACAGCUCUUUGAACGUUUGAUCUCAAAUCAGGUAGGACUACCCGCUGAACUUAAGCAUAUCAAUAAGCGGAGGA